Molecule: ribosomal RNA, 116 nt
Filed under: Pteropus alecto (black flying fox)
Lineage: Eukaryota; Metazoa; Chordata; Mammalia; Chiroptera; Pteropodidae
Source: RNAcentral
GUCUAAGGCAACGCCACCCUGAACAAGCCUGAUGUCUGAUCUCAGAAGCUAAGCAGGGUCGGGUCUGGUUAGUACUUGAAUGGGAAACCACCUAGGAAGACAAGGUGCUGUAGGCA